CGGUAAUACGGAGGAUCCAAGCGUUAUCCGGAAUCAUUGGGUUUAAAGGGUCCGUAGGCGGUCAGAUAAGUCAGUGGUGAAAGCCCAUCGCUCAACGGUGGAACGGCCAUUGAUACUGUCUGACUUGAAUUAUUAGGAAGUAACUAGAAUAUGUAGUGUAGCGGUGAAAUGCUUAGAGAUUACAUGGAAUACCAAUUGCGAAGGCAGGUUACUACUAAUGGAUUGACGCUGAUGGACGAAAGCGUGGGUAGCGAACAGGAUUAGAUACCCUGGUAGUCCACGCCGUAAACGAUGGAUACUAGCUGUUGGGAGUAAUCUCAGUGGCUAAGCGAAAGUGAUAAGUAUCCCACCUGGGGAGUACGAACGCAAGUUUGAA
RNAcentral lists this ribosomal RNA (376 nucleotides) under uncultured bacterium. RNAcentral's name for it is "bacterial SSU rRNA". It matches the Rfam family "Bacterial small subunit ribosomal RNA", at positions 518 to 898 of the family's 1533-position model. The record is from RNAcentral.